GAUUUGGAGGCUCCCAUUGAUAGUUUUUGGGGCUCCCAUUGAUAAUUUUCGGGCUCCCAUUGAUAAUUUCGGGGUUCCCAUUGAUAAUUUUGGGGUUUCCAUUGAUAAUUUUUGGGCUCCCAUUGAUAAUUCCGGGGUUCCCAUUGAUAAUUUCUGGGGUUCCCAUUGAUAAUUUUGGGUUCCCAUUGAUAAUUCCGGGGUUCCAUUGAUAAUUUUCAGGCUCCCAUUGAUAAUUCCGGGGUUCCCAUUGAUAGUUUUUGGGGUUUCCAUUGAUAAUUUUCGGGCUCCCAUUGAUAAUUCCGGGGUUCCCAAUCAGACGUCGCCGUUUCCCAUUCACUUGGGGGGGAUUUUUAUUCAGAUUCUGGGGGUUCCCUUUCAGUGGGGCUGGGUGGAUCGCCCCCCAGGAAGCUCAGUGGGUCGCUAUGGGGCAGCGCGCAUUGCUAUGGGGCGCUAAGGGGCAGUGUGGGUCUCCACGGGUCGCUAUGGGGCAGCAUAGGUCUCAGUGGGGCGCUAUGGGUCGCCGUGGGUCUCGGUGGGUUGCCCCCAGGGGGGGCUCAGUGGGUCGCUAUGGGGCAGCGUGGGUCUCAGUGAGUCGCUGUGGGUCUCGGUGAGCUGCUAUGGGGCAGUGUGGGCCUCAGAGGGGCACUAUGGGGCAGUAUAGGUCGCUAUGGGGCAGUGUGGGUCUCGGUGAGCUGCUAUGGGGCAGUGUGGGUCUCGGUGGGUUGCUGUGGGGCUCAGUGGGUCGCUCCCGGGGGGGCUCACUGGGUUGCUAUGGGGCUCAGUGAGGGCGCUAUGGGGCAGUGUGAGUUCCCAUGGGUUGCUAUGGGGCAGUGUGGGCCUCCGUGGGGCGCUAUGGGGCAGAACAGGUCUCAGUGGGCCGCUCCUGGGGGGUGCUCAGUGUGUCGCUAUGGGGCAGUGUGGGUCUCCACGGGUCGCUAUGGGGCAGCAUGAGUUUUCAUGGGACGCUAUGGGUCGCUGUGGGUCUCAGUGGGGCACUAUGGGGCUGUAUAGGUUGCUGUGGGGCAGCGUGGGUCUCCACAGGUCGCUAUGGGUCACUGUGGGUCUCAGUGGGUUGCCUCCAGGGGGGGCUCAGUGGGUCGCUAUGGGGCAGCGUGAGUUUCCACGGGUCGCUAUGGGGCAGCAUAGGUCUCAGUGGGGCGCUAUGGGUCGCCGUGGGUCUCCACGGGUCGCUAUGGGGCAGCGUGAGUUUCCAUGGGUCGCUAUGGGUCGCUGUGGGUCACACUGGACCGCUCCUGGGGGGUGCUCAGAGGCUUGCUAUGGGGCAGCGUAGGUCUCAGUGGGUCGCUAUGGGUCACCGUGGGUCUCAGUGGGUCGCUCCCGGGGGGUUCACUGGGUUGCUAUGGGGCUCAGAGAGGGCGCUAUGGGUCAGCGUGAGUUUCCACGAGUCGCUAUGGGGCAGUGUGGGCCUCAGUGGGGCGCUAUGGGGCAGCGUGGGUCUCCACGGGUCGCUAUGGGGCAGCAUAGGUCUCCGUGGGGCACUAUGGGUCGCCGUGGGUCUCGGUGGGUUGCCCCCAGGGGGGGCUCAGUGGGUCGCUAUGGGGCAGCGUGAGUUUCCAUGGGUCGCUAUGGGGCAGUGUGGGUCUCAGUGGGUCACUGUGGGUCUCGGUGAGCUGCUAUGGGGCAGUGUGGGCCUCAGUGGGUCACUGUGGGUUUCGGUGAGCUGCUAUGGGGCAGUGUGGGUCUCGGUGGGUCGCUCCCGGGGGGGGCUCACUGGGUUGCU
Molecule: long non-coding RNA, 1741 nt
Filed under: Numida meleagris (helmeted guineafowl)
Lineage: Eukaryota; Metazoa; Chordata; Aves; Galliformes; Numididae
Description: lncRNA (ENSNMEG00000001190.1)
Source: RNAcentral